UACGUAGGGUGCGAGCGUUGUCCGGAAUUAUUGGGCGUAAAGAGCUCGUAGGCGGCUUGUCGCGUCGGAUGUGAAAGCCCGGGGCUUAACUCCGGGUCUGCAUUCGAUACGGGCAGGCUAGAGUUCGGUAGGGGAGAUCGGAAUUCCUGGUGUAGCGGUGAAAUGCGCAGAUAUCAGGAGGAACACCGGUGGCGAAGGCGGAUCUCUGGGCCUUACCUGACGCUCAGGUGCGAAAGCUAGGGGAGCAAACAGG
Molecule: ribosomal RNA, 253 nt
Filed under: uncultured bacterium
Lineage: Bacteria
Description: partial 16S ribosomal RNA
Rfam family: Bacterial small subunit ribosomal RNA
Source: RNAcentral